CCUACGGGAGGCAGCAGUGGGGAAUUUUGGACAAUGGGCGAAAGCCUGAUCCAGCAAUGCCGCGUGUGGGAAGAAGGCCUUCGGGUUGUAAACCACUUUUGUACGGAACGAAACGGUUCGCUUUAAUACAGUGGGCUAAUGACGGUACCGUAAGAAUAAGCACCGGCUAACUACGUGCCAGCAGCCGCGGUAAUACGUAGGGUGCGAGCGUUAAUCGGAAUUACUGGGCGUAAAGCGUGCGCAGGCGGUUAUAUAAGACAGUUGUGAAAUCCCCGGGGCUCAACCUGGGAAUUGCAUCUGUGACUGUAUAGCUAGAGUACGGUAGAGGGGGAUGGAAUUCCGCGUGUAGCAGUGAAAUGCGUAGAUGUGCGGAGGAACACCGAUGGCGAAGGCAAUCCCCUGGACCUGUACUGACGCUCAUGCACGAAAGCGUGGGGAGCAAACAGGAUUAGAUACCCUGGUAGUCCACGCCCUAAACCGAUGUCAACUGGUUGUUGGGUGCAUUAGUACUCAGUAACGAAGCUAACGCGUGAAGUUGACCGCCUGGGGAGUACGGCCGCAAGGUUGAAACUCAAAGAUAGUAGCGNGNGAGNGCGACGACGACGACGACGGAGGAGGAGG
RNAcentral lists this ribosomal RNA (621 nucleotides) under uncultured bacterium. RNAcentral's name for it is "bacterial SSU rRNA". It matches the Rfam family "Bacterial small subunit ribosomal RNA", at positions 338 to 950 of the family's 1533-position model. The record is from RNAcentral.